RNAcentral lists this ribosomal RNA (490 nucleotides) under uncultured bacterium. Its description in RNAcentral is "bacterial SSU rRNA". It matches the Rfam family "Bacterial small subunit ribosomal RNA", at positions 215 to 697 of the family's 1533-position model. The record is from RNAcentral.
UCGCUAUGGGAUGGCCCCGCGGUGCAUUAGCUAGUUGGUAAGGUAACGGCUUACCAAGGCAAUGAUGCAUAGCCGAGUUGAGAGACUGAUCGGCCACAUUGGGACUGAGACACGGCCCAAACUCCUACGGGAGGCAGCAGUAGGGAAUCUUCCACAAUGGACGCAAGUCUGAUGGAGCAACGCCGCGUGAGUGAAGAAGGUUUUCGGAUCGUAAAGCUCUGUUGUUGGUGAAGAAGGAUAGAGGUAGUAACUGGCCUUUAUUUGACGGUAAUCAACCAGAAAGUCACGGCUAACUACGUGCCAGCAGCCGCGGUAAUACGUAGGUGGCAAGCGUUGUCCGGAUUUAUUGGGCGUAAAGCGAGCGCAGGCGGAAGAAUAAGUCUGAUGUGAAAGCCCUCGGCUUAACCGAGGAACUGCAUCGGAAACUGUUUUUCUUGAGUGCAGAAGAGGAGAGUGGAACUCCAUGUGUAGCGGUGGAAUGCGUAGAUAU